UCUUUGUAACUGCUAUUAGCAGCUAACAGUUGCUAACAAAGACCUGCUGGUAGUAGGUAAUAUUUCCUGGAUCGGGUGCCAUGAUCAGAGACA
Long non-coding RNA from Haliotis rubra (blacklip abalone), 93 nucleotides. RefSeq lists it as uncharacterized. Lineage: Eukaryota; Metazoa; Mollusca; Gastropoda; Lepetellida; Haliotidae. The record is from RefSeq and is a predicted model, not a curated record. The transcript has 3 exons.